GGUCAGCUUCGCAAGGCCUGACCAUGCACAGGCGGCUCUGCUUCUCUAGCCUGCAGGAGGCGUUGUCAUUGGUAACCCGGGUGGAGAUGCCCAUCCCACAGGUCUUGGAACAGGCGCUCCACUCUGUGGUCUGGACCAGGCAGUUGGCUCUAAUCAUAGUUGGGUCUGGGCCAAACGUGUCUUCCAGUCGGUAAGCUGCGAGAGCAGAGCACACAAACACCGCUUUUAUACGCUCCGGGCGGCCGCGGCUCGCCAAUGAGCUGAAUGGAGUCCUACACAAACAGGGACAUUCCUCGCAUUCCUCCCCACCUUCCUGCCUCAUCAACUCACACCGGAUUGAUCCUGACCCCUUGACACUCAGCAUUCCUCCGUCUGAAAAAGCUGGCACACUCAUUGUUAUUUAAUGUCCUUUCCAAGCAUUCCUCAAAAAGAAGAGGCCUAAGAGUUCCUAUUUAAAGAAGGAACAUUCCAAGUUAA
This 477-nucleotide long non-coding RNA is filed under the name Homo sapiens (human). RNAcentral's name for it is "HSALNT0113220". Lineage: Eukaryota; Metazoa; Chordata; Mammalia; Primates; Hominidae. The record is from RNAcentral.